GAUGAACGCUAGCUACAGGCUUAACACAUGCAAGUCGAGGGGCAGCAUGAACUUAGCUUGCUAAGUUUGAUGGCGACCGGCGCACGGGUGAGUAACACGUAUCCAACCUUCCGUUUACUCAGGGAUAGCCUUUCGAAAGAAAGAUUAAUACCUGAUAGUAUGGUGAGAUUGCAUGAUAACACCAUUAAAGAUUUAUUGGUAAACGAUGGGGAUGCGUUCCAUUAGGUAGUAGGCGGGGUAACGGCCCACCUAGCCUGCGAUGGAUAGGGGUUCUGAGAGGAAGGUCCCCCACAUUGGAACUGAGACACGGUCCAAACUCCUACGGGAGGCAGCAGUGAGGAAUAUGGUCAAUGGGCGAGAGCUGAACCAGCCAAGUAGCGUGAAGGAUGAA
This 391-nucleotide ribosomal RNA is filed under the name uncultured bacterium. RNAcentral describes it as "bacterial SSU rRNA". It matches the Rfam family "Bacterial small subunit ribosomal RNA", at positions 28 to 412 of the family's 1533-position model. The record is from RNAcentral.